GACGAACCGUGCGAACGUUAUUCGGAAUCACUGGGCUUAAAGGGCGCGUAGGCGGGCUCGUAAGUCAGGCGUGAAAUCCCACGGCCCAACCGUGGAAGUGCCUCUGAUACUGCGGGCCUCGAGGGGGAUAGGGGCGUGCGGAACUCAGGGUGGAGCGGUGAAAUGCGUAGAUAUCCUGAGGAACACCGGUGGCGAAAGCGGCGCGCUGGAUCCCUUCUGACGCUGAGGCGCGAAAGCCAGGGGAGCAAACGGG
This 253-nucleotide ribosomal RNA is filed under the name uncultured bacterium. Its description in RNAcentral is "partial 16S ribosomal RNA". It matches the Rfam family "Bacterial small subunit ribosomal RNA", at positions 524 to 776 of the family's 1533-position model. The record is from RNAcentral.